RNAcentral lists this ribosomal RNA (298 nucleotides) under uncultured eukaryote. Its description in RNAcentral is "partial 18S ribosomal RNA". It matches the Rfam family "Eukaryotic small subunit ribosomal RNA", at positions 1470 to 1796 of the family's 1831-position model. The record is from RNAcentral.
CCCUUUGAUACUCUGGGCGGCACGCGCGCUACAAUGGAUAACUUAACGUGUUACAUGUCCGAAAGGAUGUAUGCAAAUCACAAAUGUUAUGUCUCGAGUGGGAUAGUUUACUGCAAUUAUAGACUUGAACUAGGAAUCCCUUGUAGGUACACUGAAGCAUAGUGUACCGAAUACGUCCCUGCCGUUUGUACACACCGCCCGUCGUUUCUUCCGACUGAUACUCAUUGUGAAUUGCGGGGAUAACGUUGCUGAAAACCGUUGUAAAUGCUGGGUAUUGGAGGAAGAAAAAGUCGUAACA